UAGGGUGUUCCAUAAGGUGUUCCAUAAGGUGUUCCAUAAGGUGUUCCCGUAGGGUGUUCCAUAAGGUGUUCCCGUAGGGUGUUCCAUAAGGUGUUCCAUAAGGUGUUCCCGUAGGGUGUUCCAUAAGGUGUUCCAUAAGGUGUUCCAUAAGGUGUCCCAUAAGGUGUUC
Long non-coding RNA from Oncorhynchus keta (chum salmon), 169 nucleotides. RefSeq lists it as uncharacterized. Lineage: Eukaryota; Metazoa; Chordata; Actinopteri; Salmoniformes; Salmonidae. The transcript is spliced from 3 exons. The record is from RefSeq and is a predicted model, not a curated record.